Molecule: long non-coding RNA, 148 nt
Organism: Spea bombifrons (plains spadefoot toad)
Lineage: Eukaryota; Metazoa; Chordata; Amphibia; Anura; Pelobatidae
Exons: 3
Source: RefSeq, a predicted model, not a curated record
GCAGCCGCAAAAACAUCAGCUUGAUCUCUGCUUCAUGCUCGGCCUGCGAACAGGUCUGUGGACUGCGUCUCGCCAUCAACACAAAGACCCCGAUGGAUCCAGCCGGGCACCGAGAGUCCGGGUCCCAGUGGAGUUUACUCUGCCGCAU